This 1406-nucleotide long non-coding RNA is filed under the name Phasianus colchicus (ring-necked pheasant). Its description in RNAcentral is "lncRNA (ENSPCLG00000008100.1)". The record is from RNAcentral. Lineage: Eukaryota; Metazoa; Chordata; Aves; Galliformes; Phasianidae.
AUGAAGAAGAGGCCUAUAGUUGCAGAGAAGGCUGACUUAAGAAGCAGGAGGAAAAAUUAUGGCUUGGUAAGAAAGAGGAAGUUUCGCGCGGAUCGGUUUUGCAUAAGUGCUAUAAACGCGGUUCGGUGGAGCUCGGACAGCGGCAGCACAGCGACCGCGGGGUCCUCCGUCACCGAGAGCAUCGGGUUUACUAGGGGACGUACGCGCAUGGAAGCACGCUAUCCCGAAAGUAUUUUAUUAAGCACAGAUCGACUCACCGCUAGAGCAGGAAAAUCGGCUGUUAUAGGAAAAGAAAGGACCAAAUCCUCGUUUUCUCACUUUAAUUUCUGCUAUCCGCGCGGCAGGGAGGCAUGGCGGCUGCGCACCUCCCGGCCGGUCCCGGCGCGGCCGCGGCCCCUCGCAGCCCAGCGCCGCCCGCGCCCGCGGGAGAGGCGCCGCCCGGCUCGGCACCGCGCGUCCCUUCCGCCCGCCGCCCGGUACCGCGGUGGAACAGCGCUGCCGCUCCUUCGCUGCCUCCCGCGCGGGAACUCAAAUAGCCGGCAGUUGUGUACUGACAAGGCAGCAGUCAUGAGAAAUCACUCAGCAGUCAAUAAUACUGCAGAGUCAAUGACUGGGUAACAUCAUUUGUGGAGGAAAAGCACCUGGGGGUGUUAGCUGAGAGCCAGCUGAACGUGAGCCAGCAGCAUGCCCAGGUGGUCACGAAGGUCAGUGGCAUCUUGGCUUAUAUCAGAAAUCAUGCAGCCAGCAGAAGUGGGAGGUGAUUGUUCUUUUGCACUGGUAAGGCUGUACCUUGAGUACUGUGUUUGGGCCCUUCACUACAAGAAAGAUACUGAGGCCCUGGAGUGUGUCCAGAGAAGGGCAGUGGAACUGUGAAGGAUCUGAAGCACAAGUCUUGUGGAGAACAGCUGAGGGUACUGGGAUUGUUCAGUCUGUAGAAGAGGAGGCUCAGGGGUGACCUUAUUGCUCUCUACAGUUACCUAAGGAGGUUGUGGCAAGGUGGGGGGUCAGCCUCUGCUCUCAAGUAACAGUGAUAGGAAUAGAGGAAAUGGCCUUAAGCUGCUCCUGGAGAGGUUCAGAAUGGAUAUUAGGAAAAGUUCUGUCUCAGAAGGAGAGGUGAGGCACUGGCACAGGCUGCCAGGGGAGGCGGUGGAGUCACUGUCUCUGAGGGUGUUCAAGUAAUGUGGGUAUGCGACACUGAGGGAUGUACGUGGUUUAGUGAGCAUGGUGGGGAUGGGUUCACAUUUGGACUGGGUUAUUUUAGGGGUCUUUUCCAAUCUAAAUGAUUCUGUGAUUCUAUGAUUCUAUCAUGACAUGUGACUAAGUUACUUCUAGCCCAAUAUUAAAUUAAAUUACUUCUAGCCCAACAAUAGCCCAGAAUAAAGAACAGCCACCAAAAGACUUGUGCA